UACGAAGGGGGCUAGCGUUGUUCGGAAUUACUGGGCGUAAAGCGUAUGCAGGCGGAUCGUUAAGUCGGGGGUGAAAUCCCGAGGCUCAACCUCGGAACUGCCUUCGAUACUGGCGACCUUCGAGUCCGGGAGAGGUGAGUGGAACUCCGAGUGUAGAGGUGAAAUUCGUAGAUAUUCGGAGGAACACCAGUGGCGAAGGCGGCUCACUGGUCCGGUACUGACGCUGAGGUGCGAAAGCGUGAGGAGCAAACAGG
This 254-nucleotide ribosomal RNA is filed under the name uncultured bacterium. RNAcentral describes it as "partial 16S ribosomal RNA". It matches the Rfam family "Bacterial small subunit ribosomal RNA", at positions 524 to 776 of the family's 1533-position model. The record is from RNAcentral.